RNAcentral lists this long non-coding RNA (2840 nucleotides) under Gallus gallus (chicken). The record is from RNAcentral. Lineage: Eukaryota; Metazoa; Chordata; Aves; Galliformes; Phasianidae.
UCAGAAGGAGAAACUUAUUAGAAGAAGUCUUUGCCAUUAUAUGUAUAAAUCUGGAAUAGUUUCACUCCGAACAACAAACGUGGACGCUGCUCAACGGGGAGGAGGAGGGGAACACAGCCACCCAGUGUUUGCAGACUCCAGCACAGCAAAGUGGUGGACUACAGGAGCAGCUCUGGUGGCGAAGGGGCAGCGUGAGGCACUGCUGGCCCCAACUUCCCGCAGGUGUCCAUCCGGCACCCGAGGCCUCGAGCAGCACCGUGUCUGUGUCCUGUGCCAUACCCACAGCCCUGGAACCAUGCAAGGAGAAUGAAGUUUGUUCUAAACGUGAAUUUAAUGUGCUUUCAGAUUUGACAGCCUCUUUUAAAAGGAAACGUUUAAGUUGAGCGAAAGGCACAUUUGCUUCUCCAAAUAAAUGGAAUUAUAGUUCAAAGAUCUGACUUAAUCCUGAGGCUCUUGCACUGUGCAGUAAGUAGGAAAGAAAGGGGAUUGCUCCGAGGAGCAGGGGUUAGCAGGAUCAGGGGCUGUUUUAUAUCAUCUCAUUUUCCUUCUGGUAUUUAAUAUACUUUCUUCUCAACUUGCACUGGCUGGUUCUAAAAAGACCCAGUAGUGUCAUACGUUAACUAAUGGCAUAUAAACUACUAAUUGAAACUAAUGAAGGAUGGUACAGGGAGUUCCCAUCCAGCUUUCCUGCUAGGCAAAUUUGAUUAUUGUUAAGCAAACAAAAAUGCCAUUCUUCCAGAUGUAUUCUCUCAUAUGGUUUCGUCCUUUUUCAGUUCAUUUCAGGACUUUUCUCAAAAUGCAUUUUACUUGUUAUAACUAUGUGCUCUUUUUCCACUUUAAAAAAAUGUAUAUACAACUGUGUUUUAAAAUCUACGUUGACAUUUCAGUGAUAUGAAGGAAGAUGUUUACACAGUAACAGUGCCAUCUAUAUUUAUUGUAUCUCUACAAACAGAAGUUCUGAUCAGAUAAAAUUAAAAUAUGUGUGUGAUGGUUUUUGUGUGUUGUAAUGACAUCUGUAUGUUUCUAGUUGUGAUUUUGGUGCCUGCCCCCACAUUACCUGGCUGGUUAAGGAAAGUGGGAUCAAUAUUCUUACUUCUCCGACGUAUCAGUUUGUUCGUUAACCCCAGUGCUGCUGGCUGCACUCUCUGAAAUCAGUGAUUUGUCUUUGAGCUAUUUCUUUUUCUGCCAAAGCGCCGAGGUACAUGUAUUCCAGGCAGUAGCUGCAUCUGCGGGACAUGCUAACGUGGAGAGGAGCCUGGGCAGGAGGAGCACUGUGCCUAAAGGGAGCGUUCAAGAAGAGUCUCCAGCAAAGAUUAAAAUGAAGAAUGAAUGAAAUUUAUUGUGGCAAAGUUUCCUUCAUAGGCUGCAAAAAUAUGUGUACAGACAUUUGGAUAAAGAAAGUUUUGCAAGCUUCAUUUCGAGCCAAAACCCUUUUGCAUGGAAAAAUAAAACAAAACAAAACAAAACCAAAAACCUAAAUAAAUCCUCCUUAAAGAUGAGACAGUCCUGCUGAUGCAGUCUACCUGGCAGGCACUGCAUGCGCUGCUGUGGUGUGGCCCUGGGAGGGGGUUUUGGCCUUCUGCUGAGGCCAAGCUCUGUGUCCUGGGCACUCCAGGGCUGCUGCUCGCUGCUGGUGUGGGCUGCUGGGUUAUAGUGCAGUGUAACUGCAUGACCCACUGCUAUACACACCACUGGGACAUCAGGUUUUUUGACAGGGAACAGACCUCAAUUUCCUAGAAUAAAUCUAUUAUUAAAAUAUUCCCUGCUUUUCUCCCUACCUUCCCCAAGCCCCUAAAAGCUUCUCUAAGUGUGUGGAGGCAGCAGCGCUCACCUUCCCACUCUGUUUAUAUGGUGACUGCCAAAAUAAACCUGGAUGCAAGGAUCCAAGCUGUCCAGAGACCUCAGAAAGCUCUCGGCCACCUGGGGGCUGUCACCUGGAACACGAGCAGGUGUCCCCAGGGCUGAGGGUGCAUGGUGCUGAGGCCCUGUCCCUGCAAGCACUCAUUCAUGGCUCAGUGUCUUGUCCAUGCACUCUGGGACUCACUGUGCUCUGGAGGAUGUUCAGUGGCUGUGGAACGUCUGGCUCCAGAGCAUCCCUCACUCUGGGACUUCUGUGCACCCAACCCCACCACACACUGUUGUGUUCAAUUAGAAUUUUUAGAUGCGUUUGGUCCCCAAAGCACCUCCUGUGAUGUACUGCUGCCAAAUAUGGGACAAGAGUGGAUGAGGGAUUGCUGUGCUGCAGACCCGCAGCCCUGGAGGUGAGGAUGGUGAGCAGCAAAAGGAGGGAAGUAGGAUGUUGCACCUGUGUGAUGGGCAAUCGCAAGGCACGAGAGGGGCCAUGUCAGCCUUUGUCGCAGGGACUCAAACGCUGCCUUUCAGCACACGUAUCCUUUUUCUUCUUAAAGAAAUGUAUUUGGUUUUGCUCAGCCACGUGCUGCUCCAUCCCAGCACAAAGCACAACACAAUGCGCAGCCGUGCGCAGCGCCUGCCUGGGGGAAUUCGGGGCAUUUCGCAGCUUUCAGGCACGGGAACAAAUUGUGAACUGCGGCGUUGCAUCCAUGUGUGAACACACACGCAGCCACCAGCAGCUGAUGCUUCACACUAAUCACUCUCAUAAAUGCCUCUAAUUAGACUCAUAAAUACCUCUAACUUUCCUACAGGGAGCAACAAGCCCGAUGGGCUUCGUGUAAGAUCUGGGGGGAAAAAAGGAGUUAAAAAGAUGAGUAAAUCUGUUUUUAAACCUGGCAAGUCCUAGAGCGGUGCUCUUGAAAAUCCAACAGGAAUCCUAAAUUGCGGAGCCCUGCACCCCCCGGAGCCGCAGCGUGGGCAGAUUGGGG